This 468-nucleotide ribosomal RNA is filed under the name uncultured bacterium. RNAcentral's name for it is "partial 16S ribosomal RNA". It matches the Rfam family "Bacterial small subunit ribosomal RNA", at positions 28 to 507 of the family's 1533-position model. The record is from RNAcentral.
GACGAACGCUGGCGGCGUGCUUAACACAUGCAAGUCGAACGGUGAAGCUCCAGCUUGCUGGAGUGGAUCAGUGGCGAACGGGUGAGUAACACGUGAGCAACCUGCCCCUGACUCUGGAAUAAGCGCUGGAAACGGCGUCUAAUACUGGAUACGAGAAGGGUCCGCAUGGGCACUUUCUGGAAAGUUUUUCGGUUGGGGAUGGGCUCGCGGCCUAUCAGCUUGUUGGUGAGGUAAUGGCUCACCAAGGCGACGACGGGUAGCCGGCCUGAGAGGGCGACCGGCCACACUGGGACUGAGACACGGCCCAGACUCCUACGGGAGGCAGCAGUGGGGAAUAUUGCACAAUGGGCGAAAGCCUGAUGCAGCGACGCCGCGUGAGGGAUGACGGCCUUCGGGUUGUAAACCUCUUUCAGCAGGGAAGAAGCGAAAGUGACGGUACCUGCAGAAGAAGCUCCGGCUAACUACGUG